Long non-coding RNA from Puntigrus tetrazona (Sumatra barb), 3856 nucleotides. RefSeq lists it as uncharacterized. Lineage: Eukaryota; Metazoa; Chordata; Actinopteri; Cypriniformes; Cyprinidae. The transcript has 3 exons. The record is from RefSeq and is a predicted model, not a curated record.
AUGACUGACCCAGAUGCUAAUAAUAUCGGUGAAAGGACUCAGCGAGUCUCAAUGGGGAGGAAAUGACAUGGUCAUGUCAUUCAUACAACAUCACACCAGUGCCAUUCUGUGACACGAAGCCUCUGACAAACAUUUCGAUUUCAUCUAGAGACCACCAGAACAAACCGACCUAGUGGCUUCACAAGUUCAAGAAAGAAAUUCGUAAAGGCUUGGAAUGAGGUCUGCCCUCACCAGGACAAAAAGGAGACAACAGGUGAUAAACUAUGGGAAGGAAACUAAUCUGCAUCACAAAACAGAAUAUAGAGGCUGAUUUGUAUUACAUUCACACAAUGACAUGACGUCGUGUAGCAUAGACAAUGAUUUCAAGUAGAAAAUAUUCAGUGUAUAACUACAUCUAAAAGAUUCUUAUAAGUACAUGGAAUAGUUUAAAUUAUUAUGUUUUAAUAGUGUUCCAGUGCUUUGUUGUAGUAUUAGGUUGUGUUAAUGUGUAAUUAAUGUGUACUUGCCUUCUGUCUUCAGCUUUGAGCCUUCACGUUAUAUAAUUAUGUAUAUUGAAUUGUACAUAUCGACUUUGCUUGCUGUGCUGUUUGUAUUCUUGACCGACAGAGAAUCUUUACUCCUCAGGCAAUGUAUUUCCCAUGUUUGAACACCAGGAGGCAGGUUUGCAUUAGACAACAGCUAAACAACGUUGUAAAGAAUGCUUUUCAAAUAUUAUAAUAUUAUAUUAAUAUAUAAUAAUAAUAAUAAUAAUAAUAAUAAUACAAAGCUAAUAAUAAUAAUAAAAGCUAAAUAUAAGAAUGUAUCUUUAAAUUGCAAAUUCAUGGCCAUGUUCCAGUCAAAGUUCUGGGUAGGCAAUCUGUGCGUGUUGUAAUAAUAUGGGUACAUCAUUGGGAAUCAAUUUUGUGAUUGUCACACAAUUAUAUCGCAUUAACUUAUUAAUGUUCUGCAGAGUAGUUAAAAAUUCAAUCAAGUGACAGUUGAGCAAUAGAUGGGAGUCAAACACUUAUCAAUUACAUUGUUCUUGAAUGAAAUUUAAAACCUAGAGAAUCUUUCUCAUUAAUCAAGCUAUAUAAUAUCAAAAAUUAUUGUGAAAGAAUGCUUUGAUAAUAAUUGAAAAAUUAAUUGCUUGAUAUCUAUGGGGAAAUAACACUUAAUGACAUUGCAGUUGGAAUGAGAGCAAACUUUUUCGAAGUCCUCUUGACCGGAAUGCUGUUUUGAAACACACUUUUUUAUUUUGUGAUAGUUUCUUUCUGAAAGGUUCCGUCUCACACACGUGUAAUUAAUGUAAUGAAGAAAUCUGGCAAUGUAUGUCUCAUUUUGGAUCUAUUUGUGCAUCGGUUGUAUCUUCUCGUGCCGUUUCAAUACACUAUCCCUGCCGAAUCAGAAAAUAACAGAACAGAAAUGAGCAGAAAUGUUAUAACAAAUAAACACAGUUGAUGCAACUGUAACUAUUGGGACUAUGAAUCCAAAUCAGAUCCAGAUUAACCACAGCCCUCAGAGCACCACAGAAUAUGAGUUUCUGUCAGAAACAGAAUGAUUCAUGAGUUCAUUCUGUCUUCUAAAAUUAUCCCUCAAUAGCUAUUUAAUACUGUUUAUUUAUCACAAAAAGGAUCCCUGCAUGUAAAAUGUGUGCUGUAUCUAAUGUCUAUGCAUGGCUAAAAAUAUCUAAUGUGUAUGUAUGACAAAAAUAUCUAAUGUGUAUUUAUGGUUAACCUGUUUUAUUAAAUAGCUUUCUAAUACAAUAAACCCAACAGCUGUGGCCUGCUUCAAAAUUUUUACUUACUUCAGUCAAUUUAUCAAAUAGAGAGUCAAUGCAAAACACAGAAAAUCUGUGCAAGACCUGAAUUUAUUGACUUUCACUUAAUAAAGAUUAUGGAUCUCAUCAAAGAGCCUUUAGCCAUCAGCGCCACAGAAAAAGCGGCAAAUUAAUAUCAGAUGUGAUAUUUCAAUAAAUGGAUCUGAUUCCUCGCCGCUUUCUCAUCAUUGAAUAAAACACGCUUUAUAUUUGUUAUAGCAGAUACCGUUUCCCUGGUUACCAUCCACAAAGGCAUUUUCUUCCAUCUCUUUGUGCUGUCUCUUUAUUUCUAAAGGGUGAAGAAUACGAACAUUAUGAAAAGUUAAUUUCUGAAUUCCACGAGUCCCCGGCUCGCUGAUCUGAAAUCACAACAAGGCUCUGAAAAGGAUAUUAAAAUGCUGUGUUCUGUCGCUCAUCUAAAAGACAAAUGUUUUAGGUGCAUCUGUCCUUGGCGAAGCAAAAGGAAUUUGCCAAUAAAUAUUAUCCCACACUACUGCUUCAAAAACAGAUUUGUAUUACUUACGUACAGCUCUUCUGCUCGGAUUUUUUUCCCCCAGGUGCAAAAUAAUGAAAGCGUUCGAGUAUUUGAGCCAGACACUGAAAACUACUAAAAAACAAUUCUUUCACUUGUGAUCUUUCGUGUUUGGCCAUUGCCAUCAUUUAUUGCAUCGCGUGUUGUGUGAGAGUACCCGCAAUGGCAAAAAAAAAAAAAAAAAAAGGAUCAUGUAUCUGUUUAUUUCCUCAGUGACUCAGAUGUUUUGCUGUCUCUUUCCGUCCCUUUCCGUCUCCGCUAAAGGGGAAAGUGCCAUUUAGGCAGGUGUCACAUCCAUUAUUCAUGUCUCCACUCCACCAACAAAUUUCUUACCUGACACUUCACUUCAAUUAGCCCUGAAAAUGUCUCUCUUUUUUGUCGCUGUGUGUAUGUGAACUCAAAAGCACUCUGCAGAGCUCCGUUUUCAGCCGACCGAGCCUUUGGUCUGUCAAUCUCUUGUCUUGUGUAUUCAUGGCUUUGCAAACGUGUUUAAGUGCAGAGCAAUAGAACGAACGGCUAAAUCGAAUAAGGUACAGUCGAUUCACAGAGACAUGGUAAAAUGAAUCCACAAAGCCUGAAGUCUAAAGCAUCUUCAUUGAAAGCCAACAAGAGUAUGCAGUAUUGGACUUGAAUAAAGCUUAAUCUUUUCAACGGCUGAUUUAUUUUCUAAUAUUGAGCGGUAUACCUACAGCUCUUAAUCUGUUCUUUAGUAUUUUGAAGAAGAGCGUCAUACACAGAUGGGAGUGAAUGAAAAUCAAGGCACUUUUAAAACGUCGAGUGGCGCAGUGUAAUUUUCACUGACAUUAUACGGGAAAUAAGUGCUGUUAUUCCAUCAUUUCCAAUUUCCAGAAGAGGGGAUGACUUCAGGAAAAGUCUAAAAUACACGGAUGGAAAGGUUCUGGCUUGGUCAUCAGCACGUUCCUUAAAAUCCUGAGCUAUGACAAUCAAAGCCCAUGUAACACGCAUUCACUCUCCUUAAAACAGAGACAUCACAUUUUAUUUUUAUAACAAGCUGUAUCGUUCAGGUUAACAAACAACGACACAAAUAAUCCUUGCCACUCAUUUAAAACUAUAAAGAACAAUAUAUUAGGAACAAUAAUGAUCCAACACUGAACAAUAAAAGGUUACCCUGUGCAAAAAGGCAGCCUGCACGAAAUGUACAACAUGUUUGUAAAUUAAAAUGUAUCCAAAUCCUAAAAAAGAGAUAUAGGAGAAAUCCUAAAUAAUCUUUAUCGAAGGCAUAAUACCAACUACUGUACAUAAUUCUGGAUCUUUUUAGAUGUUUUCUCGCCUAAAUAAGACAAAAUACUGUAUAAGCUUCCAAGAAGUAGAAGAAAAAAUGUGUCAUGUCAAAAGUCUGAAGUUAAGUUAAUGACAUUAAUUAAAAACAUGAAAACACUGAAAUCUUUCUCUUUAACUUUCUAUGUAUUUCUUCACAGACAUUUAUAUAUACAUAAAAUACAAAAACUUUGUGAUCGACAUACAUACAAUCCUUAAGAAAUCAUACUAAUAUGCUGAUUUUCUGCUCA